AUGUUUCAGGAUUAUUCAACAGAACACCUUUGUGAUGGCCUCUUGCCCACCAGGAACUGGGCCACAUAUCCUUGGACCUGGGCUCACAUCCUUCAGCCUCUGAUCCCAUCCAUCCAAGAUGGACACCACUUCGAAUUUAGGUUUUCAACCCUUUGGCCAGAGCCUAGGGAAAUAAUGACAUUCACAGGCCCAAUCCAUAUAUUACCCAUGUUGUUAAAAGCUAGCUUUAGCAUCCCCAUCAAAAGGGGCAAUGAAAAGUAUGGUUUUCAAGAUGGACUUCUAGGUUGGAUGUUAAAGUCAACUGUUUUCUCUUUUCUAGUUGACUUCAAUCAUCUGUCUUGGUGGGCACACGACCAAGAGUUUUGGACACUGCUAACACCACCCACAUGCUGGAACAGGACUUUGGAAGAGGGACCGAUACUGCAAUGAGGUGUCAGAUUGGACCAACAGGCUAUCUUUCAGCCAUGACUGUGCCUUGAAAGCUCAAACCCACCAUGGGAGAGGUUUUCUAAUUUGACUUCUUAAUGGGAAAAUAUCUAGCUGUUUUUGUCGGAUGAUGGGAGCAGAUCCCAAAUGCAAUAAGUUCUACUACCUUUCAGCACUCCUGGGUGGUGUGUGGAACAUGGGCUCCAAGACGGAUGUGGGUCUGCAGCCUCCUGGGACAUGAAGAGGGAGGGGAACAGCCGCGUAGUCUAGUGGUUCUGACAUCUUCUCAAGGCCCACAGACCCUGGUUUACUGAUUUAAGAGGAACACUGUGUUAAUACGGUGUAUAUAACUCUCUCGACAAUUAUACUUCUUUCUUGUGAUGAAUGCCUCCCUUUCUCUGCUACAUUUUCUAUGGCUAACCCUCCUUUUUGUUCAAAAUAAUAAUACACAUUAAAAGCAAAGGGCAAAUGCAGUUGUAUCCAAAACAACUAAUACUUUGGUACCUGUUACGUGAGACUUUUGUUAUCUUUGUUUUACUGAAGAGCAACCGAGGCAGCCCCAGAGAGAUCCAAAAAUUACAUAACUCGCAAGGAAAAAAGCUGCAACUUGACCUUGGGCUGUUAGGCUCCAGAAAUGGUGGUUUUUCCAGUCCACACUGUUGCUUAAAUUUUUUGUUUUGCUUUUGUUGCUUUAGUUUUUUUUUCUUUUUGAUGGCCCUAGGGAUUGAACUCAGGCCCUUCACACUGAAUUACAUCCCCAGCCCUAUCUAUUUUUUAUUUUUGAGACAAGGUCUCACCAAGUCACUAAUUUAUCCAGGCUGAGCUUGAAUUUGCAAUCCUCCUGCCUCUGCCUCCCAGACUGCUGGCAUUACAGGCUUCAUUGUUGCCUAUUAACCCAUUAUGAUGAUUAAUUUUAUGUGCCUAUUUGACUGGGCCACAGGGUACCUAGAUAGCUGGUUAAACAUUCUUUUCAGUGUUUCCUUGAGGGUGCUUCUUGGAUGACAUUAACAUUUAAACUGGGAGAUGAGCAAAGCAGAUUGCACGAAGAAGAUGGGGAAACACCUGCAUAGAAACAAAAGGCUUGCCCUCCCCUGAGUAGGAGGAAAUUUCUUUCGCAUGGUUGCAUUUGAAAUUGACUCCUUUUCCUGCCUUUGGACUUGAACUGAAGCAUCUGCUCUCCCCGGGCCUCAAGCUCACCAACCUCUGACCUGAAACUUAUGCCACCAGCAUUCCUGGUUCUCAGGCCUUCGGCAGCUCUGCCUGGUCCCCGCCUUGCCAACUUGCCCUGAAGAUCUUCAGACUUGUCAGGCGCUAUAAUUGCAGGUACCAGUUCCCUAGAAAACAUCUCUUUGUAUAUAU
Molecule: long non-coding RNA, 1785 nt
Filed under: Chinchilla lanigera (long-tailed chinchilla)
Lineage: Eukaryota; Metazoa; Chordata; Mammalia; Rodentia; Chinchillidae
Description: lncRNA (ENSCLAG00000023987.1)
Source: RNAcentral